GCGUUAUCCGGAAUCAUUGGGCGUAAAGCGCCUGUAGGUUGUUUAAUAAGUCUGUUGUUAAAGCCUAGGGCUUAACCCUAGAAAAGCAAUGGAAACUACUAGACUGGAGUAUGGCAGGGGCAGAGGGAAUUUCUAGUGUAGCGGUGAAAUGCGUAGAUAUUAGAAAGAACACCGGUGGCGAAAGCGCUCUGCUGGACCAUUACUGACACUCAGAGGCGAAAGCUAGGGUAGCAAAAGGGAUUAGAUACCCCUGUAGUCCUAGCCGUAAACGAUGGAUACUAGAUGUUGUGCGUAGUGUACAGUAUCGUAGCUAACGCGUUAAGUAUCCCCGCCUGGGGAGUACGCUCGCAAGGGUGAAACUCAAAGGAAUUGACGGGGUCUCUGCACAAGCGGUGGAGCAUGUGGUUUAAUUCGAUGCAACGCGAAGAACCUUACCAGGCUCCCCCCCCCCACAGAUUCUUUAGAGAAAGAAGAGUGCCUUCGGGAAUGUAGAUACAGGUGGUGCAUGGCUGUCGUCAGCUCGUGUCGUGAGAUGUUGGGUUAAGUCCCGCAACGAGCGCAACCCUUAUUUUUAGUUGCCAGCAUUAAGAUGGGCACUCUAAAAAGACUGCCGGUGACAAACCGGAGGAAGGUGAGGACCACGUCAGUCA
Molecule: ribosomal RNA, 650 nt
Filed under: uncultured marine haptophyte
Lineage: Eukaryota; Haptophyta
Description: bacterial SSU rRNA
Rfam family: Bacterial small subunit ribosomal RNA
Source: RNAcentral